This 274-nucleotide ribosomal RNA is filed under the name uncultured bacterium. RNAcentral describes it as "partial 16S ribosomal RNA". It matches the Rfam family "Bacterial small subunit ribosomal RNA", at positions 523 to 796 of the family's 1533-position model. The record is from RNAcentral.
AUACGGAGGGUGCGAGCGUUGUUCGGAAUCACUGGGCGUAAAGGGCGCGCAGGCGGUUUGUCAAGUCAGAUGUGAAAGGCCACGGCUCAACCGUGGAGGUGCAUCUGAAACUGGCAGACUUGAGUACCGGAGGGGAAAGUGGAAUUCCCGGUGUAGAGGUGAAAUUCGUAGAUAUCAGGAGGAACACCGGAGGCGAAGGCGACUUUCUGGACGGAUACUGACGCUGAGGCGCGAAAGCGUGGGGAGCAAACAGGAUUAGAAACCCCAGUAGUCC